UGGGGAAUAUUGCACAAUGGGGGAAACCCUGAUGCAGCGACGCCGCGUGAGCGAAGAAGGCUUUCGAGUCGUAAAGCUCUGUCCUAUGAGAAGAUAAUGACGGUACCUGAAAAACAAGCCACGGCUAACUACGUGCCAGCAGCCGCGGUAAUACGUAGGUGGCGAGCGUUAUCCGGAUUUACUGGGUGUAAAGGGCGUGCAGGCGGGCUGAUAAGUCAGAUGUGAAAUCCCCGAGCUUAACUCGGGAACUGCAUCUGAUACUGUUGGUCUUGAGUGCUGGAGAGGAUAGUGGAAUUCCUAGGGUAGCGGUAAAAUGCGCAGAUAUUAGGAGGAACACCAGUGGCGAAGGCGGCUAUCUGGACAGUAACUGACGCUGAGGCGCGAAAGCGUGGGUAGCAAACAGG
Molecule: ribosomal RNA, 404 nt
Filed under: Verrucomicrobiota bacterium
Lineage: Bacteria; Pseudomonadati; Verrucomicrobiota
Description: Verrucomicrobia bacterium partial 16S ribosomal RNA
Rfam family: Bacterial small subunit ribosomal RNA
Source: RNAcentral